GAUGCAGCUCGCCGCGUGAGUGAUGAGGCCUUCGGGUUGUAAAGCUCUGUUGUUAGGGAAGAACCUGACGGUAGUAACUGCUCGGCCACUGACGGUACCUGAACAGAAAGCCCCGGCUAACUACGUGCCAGCAGCCGCGGUAAUACGUAGGGGGCAAGCGUUAUCCGGAAUUAUUGGGCGUAAAGCGUGCGCAGGCGGUUUUUUAAGUCUGAUGUGAAAUCCCCGGGCUCAACCUGGGAAGUGCAUUGGAGACUGGUAGACUUGAUUCUGGAAAAGGGAGGUGGAAUUCCAUUUGUAACAGUAAAAUGCGUAAAGAUGUGGAGGAACACUGAUGCUGAAGGCAGCCCCCUGGGUCGUGACUGGCGCUCAGGAUCAAAUGCGUGGGGAGCAAACAGGAUUAAAUACCCUGGUAAUCCACGCCGUAAACAAUGACUGCUAAUUGUUGGGUCUUUAUUGCCUUUUUAAGCCAGCUUACACCUGA
This 481-nucleotide ribosomal RNA is filed under the name uncultured bacterium. RNAcentral's name for it is "bacterial SSU rRNA". It matches the Rfam family "Bacterial small subunit ribosomal RNA", at positions 385 to 862 of the family's 1533-position model. The record is from RNAcentral.